Durio zibethinus is the source of this 1857-nucleotide non-coding RNA. The record is from RefSeq and is a predicted model, not a curated record. Lineage: Eukaryota; Viridiplantae; Streptophyta; Magnoliopsida; Malvales; Malvaceae.
UUUAAGCAAAAAAACCAAAGGCCGCACAAACUAACAUUGGAUAAUUGCCACGUGUAAUGCAUUCCAACUAAAAUGAAAGCCCGAAACGUAACCCAACUCCUAGCAAACUUCCUACGUGUCAAGUGAAAGUCCUUCCCAAUAGCUUUGCGCCACGUCAAUCCAAUGACACUUAUGAAUGACAUGUCAUCCAAUGAUUCGCUCACGUCCUUCACUUCAAUCCACGUCAGAUCAACCAAGGAUGUUACCUCAUUUCUCACGCUAUAUAAUGGGAGCCCGUCACUCUAUUGUUCUGCAGCUCCACUCUUCUCUCCUUGCUGAGUUCAGCCAUGGCGAUUAACAGACGAAACCCUAGUUUUCUUUCUUUAAUUUUUGUCUCCCUCUUUGUCAUCGCCUCUGCUGAAGUAUUCUUCGAAGAACGCUUCGAAGAUGGAUGGGAAGGUCGGUGGGUAAUAUCCGACUGGAAGAAAGAUGAUAACAUGGCUGGGGAAUGGAAUUGCACUUCUGGAAAAUGGAAUGGAGAUCCUAAUGACAAAGGUAUUCAAACGAGUGAAGACUACAGGUUCUAUGCUAUUUCAGCUGAGUUCCCAGAAGCUAACAACAAGGAGAGGACUCUAGUCUUCCAAUUUUCUGUCAAGCAUGAGCAGAAGCUUGAUUGUGGUGGUGGCUACAUGAAGUUGCUCAGCGGUAACAUUGACCAGAAGAAAUUUGGUGGUGAAACCCCCUACAGCAUCAUGUUUGGGCCUGAUAUCUGUGGCUACAGCACCAAGAAAGUACAUGCUAUUCUGACCUACAAUGGGACAAACCACUUGAUAAAAAAGGAAGUUCCUUGUGAGACUGACCAACUCACUCAUGUUUAUACAUUCAUUCUCCGUCCAGAUGCUACCUACAGCAUUCUUAUCGAUAAUGUUGAGAAACAAACUGGUAGCUUGUACACUGAUUGGGAUCUUCUCCCGCCAAAAAAAAUCAAGGACCCUGAGGCCAAGAAGCCUGAAGAUUGGGAAGACAACGAAUACAUCCCUGAUCCUGAAGAUAAGAAGCCAGAGGGUUAUGAUGACAUUCCAAAAGAGAUCCCUGAUCCUGAUGCUAAAAAGCCUGAAGAUUGGGAUGAUGAAGAAGAUGGUGAAUGGACACCCUCAACAAUUCCCAACCCUGAGUACAAAGGCCCAUGGAAGCCGAAGAAAAUCAAAAACCCUAACUACAAGGGCAAGUGGAAGGCACCAAUGAUUGACAACCCAGAUUUCAAGGAUGACCCUGAUCUCUAUGUUUUCCCCAACUUGAAGUAUGUUGGUAUUGAAUUGUGGCAGGUGAAAUCUGGAACAAUGUUUGAUAAUAUCUUAGUUGCUGAUGAUAUAGAGUAUGCCAAGAAACUAGCUGAAGAAACAUGGGGCAAACAGAAGGAUGCUGAGAAGGCAGCAUUUGAGGAAGCAGAGAAAAAGAAAGAGGAGGAGGAAUCAAAGGAUGACCCAGUUGAUUCUGAUGUAAGCCUACAACAUGCCUUCUUAAGAAUAUGAUGAUUUGUUUGCUGUCGUUCUGGUUUUCAUUGUGUUAACUGACAUUCCAGAUUGAGGACGAAGAUGAUGAUAGUGAUGAUGGUGAAGGAAAUGAGUCUGAUUCUGAUACCAAAUCAGAUGCAAGCAAAGACAGUGCUGAGAUAAAGGAAGAGACCGAGGAAGAUGUACAUGAUGAGCUGUAAGGCAAGAGCACUUCAAUAUUUUGCUGACAAUUUGGUUUGAAGAUUAAAGUGCCGCAAGUGCUCUUAAGAGAUUUCCUUUAUUUUUUUUUUAUUUGUAGUUGUAGGAGUUUCCUGUUAGAGGGGAAAAAGGAAUUGAAUGCUCCGCAGGCAAGAAAACUUUGACU